UACAGAGGGUGCAAGCGUUGCUCGGAUUUACUGGGCGUAAAGCGUACGCAGACGGCAAGACAGGUCGGACGUGAAAGCCCCGGGCUCAACCCGGGAAAUGCGUCCGAAACCGUCUCGCUCGAGUAUGGGAGAGGGAAGCGGAAUUCCUGGUGUAGAGGUGAAAUUCGUAGAUAUCAGGAGGAACACCGGCGGCGAAGGCGGCUUCCUGGCCCAUUACUGACGUUCAGGUACGAAAGCGUGGGUAGCAAACAGG
This 253-nucleotide ribosomal RNA is filed under the name uncultured bacterium. RNAcentral's name for it is "partial 16S ribosomal RNA". It matches the Rfam family "Bacterial small subunit ribosomal RNA", at positions 524 to 776 of the family's 1533-position model. The record is from RNAcentral.